GACCUAAUCACCUGUUGCGCAUCCGUAAAUAGAUAUAGCUCAAGAUCCACUAAGAAGAACCAAGAAAAUGUUACAACAUGUAUGAAGAAACAGAAAAUUUAUUCGAUAUCUCUCUAGCCUCUUUACAGUAAGAAAUUCCAAAGAUCAACCUCAACAAUAAAAGCACUCAACUCUCAUUUACAUGACAUAAGCAAGAUUCACCACUAAGAUAGAUUUCAAAUUUACAGAAGAAAGAAAAACGGCAAACCCUAACUACACUCAGAGAAAGGAAAAGAUAGAGACCAAACAAAAGUAGGAUACUUUUAAAAUUAUCCCUUGUAAAUUUUCACAAAGAUCUAAUAUUUAGUUUGACUAAACUUCAAAACAAGAAAAUACGACUUGCCAAAAAAAAGAGAGAGAGAGCGCUUUAGAUGGUCAACAAAGAAUUAACGAUCUUUUUAUCUACCUAGGCUACACAGAACAUUUAAGCUUAGGCAUGCUUAAGCGAUGCCUUGGACAUGUCUUUUAAAAUGAAAUUCUUACCUUUUGCUACCUAUGAUU
Molecule: long non-coding RNA, 540 nt
Filed under: Olea europaea (common olive)
Lineage: Eukaryota; Viridiplantae; Streptophyta; Magnoliopsida; Lamiales; Oleaceae
Description: long non-coding RNA (OEUR_LNC014024)
Source: RNAcentral